Molecule: ribosomal RNA, 229 nt
Filed under: uncultured bacterium
Lineage: Bacteria
Description: partial 16S ribosomal RNA
Rfam family: Bacterial small subunit ribosomal RNA
Source: RNAcentral
UGCGUAGGCGGCUAUGUAAGUCAGGAGUGAAAGUUGCCCGCUAAACGGGUAACGUGCUUUUGAUACUGCAAAGCUUGAAUAAGGUUGAGGUUAGCGGAAUGUGGCAUGUAGCGGUGAAAUGCAUAGAUAUGCCAUAGAACACCAAUUGCGAAGGCAGCUGGCUAGACCUAUAUUGACGCUGAGGCACGAAAGCGUGGGGAGCGAACAGGAUUAGAUACCCUGGUAGUCC